RNAcentral lists this long non-coding RNA (2166 nucleotides) under Malus domestica (apple). Its description in RNAcentral is "long non-coding RNA (MDOM_LNC015460)". The record is from RNAcentral. Lineage: Eukaryota; Viridiplantae; Streptophyta; Magnoliopsida; Rosales; Rosaceae.
GGAUGAUGGAAUGGCUAAGGGGUUCUUCUCCACAUAUGAAAUAUAUGCAACGUAAAUCAAUUUCCAGUUAUCAAUUUAAUAAGUUAUGAAUCUCAACAUGAUCGGAUCAUUUUUAUAUAUAUUUUUACUUCGAAUUCACUCGUCUUUUAUUAGUUAGUUCCUUAUAUUUUUGAGCUAUUUACGUUAUUUUUGUGUUUAUAGGAUUUGUUAUGCAAAGAAAAUAAAAAUGGCACAAAUGAGUUUUAAAUAUUAAAUUCGUCGAAAAUUGCUUUAGUCGUUCUCAUUCUGUCAUGGGUUAUUGGUAGAAUUAUGUCACGGAUUAUAGGUCAUGGAAGUUAGGCUAAAUUUGUUAGGUAUGCAUUAGAAAUUAUAUGGCGUGACAUCUUCCAUACCCACUGAUGAUAUACUUCCAUAUCCACUGAAUUCAGGUUGGUGCAUCACAUUUAUAUAUAUAUAUAUGAUAUAUCUAAAGGCUGUUUGUGGGUGGAACAAAAGAAAACAAAAGAAAUAUAUUAAACUGGGCUCGGCAGCUAGUAAGUGUGGUAGGUGGAAGAAGAAUAAAAGAAAAGUAUGAGUGUGGUGGGUGAGGAACUUAGAAAAUCAGAAAAUAAAGGAAUAAGGGCAGCGCCACAGAGCAGGGAAAAGAGAGUUCAAAAGGGCUGCCUUUGCAGCUGGGGGUGAAACCGAAGAGGAAACCGAGAGCUCUUGCUGCUCUUGGCAGCGUGAAACAAGGAAGAGGUCAGAGAGCUGCCCCGUGGCAGCUGUAGAAGAAAACAAUGCUGCUUUUGCAGCAAAUCUGAGAGAGCACGGGGACAGAGCAGAAGGAACCAAAGGCUUUGCUGCCUUUGCAGCGAGAAAGGCCUCAGACAGAGCAAAACUCCCUUAUCUUCGGGUUAAAUCUUUCCAAACUUAUAUUUUAUUUCUGUUUUAAUAAUGUGUAACUAAAUUUAUUUUGGCUAGAGGUUAAUUCAAAGCCAUGAAUAUGUUUGUAAUAUGAAGUGAUUACCUUCAGUUGUGAUUUCUGAGUUGUGAUUUAAUUUGCUUAACUGCUUGAUUGAUAACUUAUUUUUGUAUGUCGAUUAAGAAUGCAUACUUAAUUUACAUGCAUGAAUUUGAUGCUAGAAUAUAAGUGAAUUUCACCUAAUCGUUAUAAACUUAUAUUCACAAGUAGUGAAGGUUGCUAGUCACAAUCACGUUAAGUAAAUUCUUGGCAAGAGUAACAUGCGUAUCCCAUAGUUAUGAAUGCCUCGUCAAUGCUUAUGAUUUUCAUUAACCUUAAUGAUCUUUGAUAUGUGUCUCUAUCAUGCGUAUUCCAUAGUUAGGGUCCUUGAUAAGAAUGAUUUGGUUGUAAUGCGUAUCCCAUUCAAUUCAAUGAAUCUAGGGAAAUCUGAGAAUUAAUUGGUCGAUCUAGUUAAUUUGGGGCAUUGAGAUUUACAAUUUAUUGAAAGAACAACUGAAAAUCAAUUUAGGUUGCAUAUGUGUCAUGUGUGGAGAAGAACCCUCUAGCUAGUCUGUCACCUAUCAUUUCACCUUAAUUCAUGCUUUUGUCAAUUCUGUAAUUUAUUUAAGUUUAAUUUACUUCUCGUCAAAACCAAACCCCCCAUUAUUAAAUUUAUAUUAUUUAGUUAGUUUUCAUUGUUGUUAGUCUUUUAAUUCAAUUUCUGUCCAUUUCAGUUCCUAGUGUCUAAUUUGAUUGUUUUCAUUAUUUUGAGUCAUCCUAAGUGUGUUUCGAGUUAUUAGAGUUUUUAGCCUAGUUUUGUGUCCUUGAGUCUUGUUUAAUAUUUUUAAAUUAAUUUAGAAUAGAUUUGCAAUCCCUCCUAAUCCCCGGCCUAGAACGAUACCCUACUUACAUCUAUACUACAAUUGUCAAAAAGAGGGUUUAAUUUGUGUGCUUAUAUAAAUCGCAUCACAACACUCCAAGUUAAUUAGGUCCGCUUAAAUUAACCUUCAGAUUUCCCUAGGAUCAUUGAAUUGGGAAUAUGCAUCGCAAACAAAUUAUUCCUAACAAGUUCUUUAUAUGAACAGCAUGAUAAAGACACAAGUUAGAAUCAUUACGUUCUUUGGAAAUCAUAAGCAUCGACAAGGCAUUCAUAACUAUGAAAAGCAUGAUACUCUUGCCAGGAAUCUACUUAACACGAUCGUGACUAGCGACCUUCACUACUUACG